CGGUCAUUAAAAAACUGAAGCGAGGGUGGGUAUGCUGUGUAUGUGGCUGUUCAUUUUUACUCCCUGUUAGAUAAAGCUCAAAUAUCUUUAUAAAUAUGUAACUUGCGUAGGUUAUUUCGAGAAUAACAACUAGAAAUUUUUUUUUAAUUCUUUAAGUUCUCAAACCCAACAUUUGCAAAUUUUAAUUUACAUGUUUUUCUCGUAAGCUUCCGUCAAAUCAAAAGUUGACAUUUUGUAACUAAGGAGCCGCCAUGUUGACUUGCUGAAAUGGGUAAAUAUGCGAAUAAUGCAAUAGAAUAGAAAAUAAAACAAAACCUACCUCAAAAAAUCAGUUUUAAUACAAUAUCAUACGAAUUCCGAUGGUUCAUGUAACAGAAAACUUUCAAGUUUAGCGGUUUCAUUUGUAUGACGUCAUGUUUUGAAAUGACUUAAAUGCGCCAAAAAGAUUAAUAGACUUUCGCGGAAUUUUAUUUAAUUUUUAUUUUGUUGAUUUCUCCGAGCUUUUGUGCAUUACUUCUUUUUAUUAUGCAUACGAAUAAGAAUAAAAGUUAUUUUGUCUUUUUUAAUUGCACUUUUUAAAACAAUAAAAUCAGCAAAGGAUCAGCAAAUAGGUUCCAAUACAUGUAGAUUUACGUGGGAAGUAUAUUGUAACAGCCAUUAUUAUGCAUAUCUCUGAGUCUGCGCUAAGUAUAUUUUAUCGAGAAUUUUAUAACAGUGUUGUUUACAAAGCUAAAGAAGCACGUCAUAUUAGAAUAAUGAUUAAAUUUUAUUCUUAUUUUUGGCUUAAAAAGUAUCAUAUGUUCGGAGAUAUUUCACCAUGAAGAUGAGCAUCUGGAGAGAAAUGACUUGAAUAGCAUUAGACAGUCCAUGUACAGAGAGAGAAAAAAACUUAUUGCUUUGCUGAAUAUUUAAUACAAGAUAUGUCAAAAGAAAGGAAAAUAGAAGCUAUUGCUGAUUAUGUUUUAGCCACAUAUGUUGAUGACACAGUGCUUUGUUCCCAC
This 1001-nucleotide long non-coding RNA is filed under the name Mytilus galloprovincialis (Mediterranean mussel). The record is from RNAcentral. Lineage: Eukaryota; Metazoa; Mollusca; Bivalvia; Mytilida; Mytilidae.